UCAUACGAUGGAACUGAGAUA
Non-coding RNA from Caenorhabditis elegans, 21 nucleotides. The record is from Ensembl. Lineage: Eukaryota; Metazoa; Nematoda; Chromadorea; Rhabditida; Rhabditidae.